GUAGGUGGCAAGCGUUGUCCGGAAUUAUUGGGCGUAAAGCGCGCGCAGGCGGUCCUUUAAGUCUGAUGUGAAAGCCCACGGCUCAACCGUGGAGGGUCAUUGGAAACUGGGGGACUUGAGUACAGAAGAGGAAAGCGGAAUUCCAAGUGUAGCGGUGAAAUGCGUAGAGAUUUGGAGGAACACCAGUGGCGAAGGCGGCUUUCUGGUCUGUAACUGACGCUGAGGCGCGAAAGCGUGGGGAGCAAACAGGAUUAGAUACCCUGGUAGUCCACGCCGUAAACGAUGAGUGCUAAGUGUUAGGGGGUUUCCCGCCCCCCUUAGUGCUGCAGCUAACGCAUUAAGCACUCCGCCUGGGGGAGUACGGCCGCAAGGCUA
This 375-nucleotide ribosomal RNA is filed under the name uncultured organism. Its description in RNAcentral is "partial 16S ribosomal RNA". It matches the Rfam family "Bacterial small subunit ribosomal RNA", at positions 527 to 896 of the family's 1533-position model. The record is from RNAcentral.